GACGAACGCUGGCGGCGUGCCUAACACAUGCAAGUAGAACGCACAGUCUAUACCGUAGCUUGCUACACCAUAAACUGUGAGUUGCGAACGGGUGAGUAACGCGUAGCUAACCUGUCUGGUAGCGUGGGGUAACUAUUGUUAACGCUAGCUAAUACCGCAUCAUCUUGUUUAUUCCAUGAUAAUUGAUUGCAAGAUGCUAUUGCAUCGCUACUAUCUGGUCCUGCGUUGUAUUAGCUAGUAGGUGAGGUAAAGGCACACCUAGGGGAAGAAACAUAGCCGACCUGAGGAGGUGAUCGGCCACACUGGGAAUGGGACACGGCCCAGACUCCUACGGGAGGGAGCAGUAGGGAAUCAUUGGCAAUGGGCGGAAAGCUGAACGAAGAACGCCGGGGGAGUGAAGAAGGGUUUCGGGGCGGAAAGCUCUGUUGGAAGGGAAGAAAGGGUGGGAGAGUGGAAAGUUCACGCUGUGACGGUAUCUAACCAGAAAGCAACGGCUAACUACGUG
RNAcentral lists this ribosomal RNA (505 nucleotides) under uncultured bacterium. RNAcentral's name for it is "partial 16S ribosomal RNA". It matches the Rfam family "Bacterial small subunit ribosomal RNA", at positions 28 to 507 of the family's 1533-position model. The record is from RNAcentral.